CUCUCUAGUGACCGAUAGUGAACCAGUACCGUGAGGGAAAGGUGAAAAGCACCCCGGAAGGGGAGUGAAAUAGAACCUGAAACCGUGUGCUUACAAGUAGUCAGAGCCCGUUAAUGGGUGAUGGCGUGCCUUUUGUAGAAUGAACCGGCGAGUUACGAUUUGAUGCAAGGUUAAGCAGUAAAUGUGGAGCCGUAGCGAAAGCGAGUCUGAAUAGGGCGUUUAGUAUUUGGUCGUAGACCCGAAACCAGGUGAUCUACCCUUGGUCAGGUUGAAGUUCAGGUAACACUGAAUGGAGGACCGAACCAAUUUACGUU
This 314-nucleotide ribosomal RNA is filed under the name Staphylococcus aureus. RNAcentral's name for it is "partial 23S ribosomal RNA". It matches the Rfam family "Bacterial large subunit ribosomal RNA", at positions 473 to 790 of the family's 2925-position model. The record is from RNAcentral. Lineage: Bacteria; Bacillati; Bacillota; Bacilli; Caryophanales; Staphylococcaceae.